UACGUAGGGCGCAAGCGUUGUCCGGAAUUAUUGGGCGUAAAGAGCUCGUAGGUGGCGUGUCGCGUCUGCCGUGAAAGCCCAUGGCUUAACUGUGGGUCUGCGGUGGAUACGGGCAGGCUGGAGGCUGGUAGGGGCAAGCGGAAUUCCUGGUGUAGCGGUGAAAUGCGCAGAUAUCAGGAGGAACACCGGUGGCGAAGGCAGCUCUCUGGGACGGUACUGACGCUGAGACGCGAAAGCGUGGGGAGCGAACAGG
Molecule: ribosomal RNA, 253 nt
Filed under: uncultured bacterium
Lineage: Bacteria
Description: partial 16S ribosomal RNA
Rfam family: Bacterial small subunit ribosomal RNA
Source: RNAcentral